AAUGAACGUUGGCGGCGUGGAUUAGGCAUGCAAGUCGAGCGAGAACCCGCAAGGGGGACAGCGGCAAACGGGGUAGGAAUGAUUGGUGACGUACCCUCGGGACGGGGAUAGCCACGGGAAACUGUGGGUAAUACCCGAUAAUCUCCCAGGUUUGAAGACCUGGGUGCAAAGGUGUGAUUCCACCGGAGGAGCGGCCAAUCUGGUAUUAGCUAGUUGGUAGGGUAACGGCCUACCAAGGCUACGAUGCCUAGGGGGUGUGAGAGCAUGGCCCCCACCACUGGGACUGAGAUACUGCCCAGACACCUACGGGAGGCUG
This 316-nucleotide ribosomal RNA is filed under the name uncultured Planctomycetota bacterium. RNAcentral describes it as "bacterial SSU rRNA". It matches the Rfam family "Bacterial small subunit ribosomal RNA", at positions 29 to 351 of the family's 1533-position model. The record is from RNAcentral. Lineage: Bacteria; Pseudomonadati; Planctomycetota.